GACGAACGCUGGCGGCGUGCUUAACACAUGCAAGUCGAACGGAAAGGCCCUGCUUUUGUGGGGUGCUCGAGUGGCGAACGGGUGAGUAACACGUGAGUAACCUGCCCUUGACUUUGGGAUAACUUCAGGAAACUGGGGCUAAUACCGGAUAGGAGCUCCUGCUGCAUGGUGGGGGUUGGAAAGUUUUGGCGGUUGGGGAUGGACUCGCGGCUUAUCAGCUUGUUGGUGGGGUAGUGGCUUACCAAGGCUUUGACGGGUAGCCGGCCUGAGAGGGUGACCGGCCACAUUGGGACUGAGAUACGGCCCAGACUCCUACGGGAGGCAGCAGUGGGGAAUAUUGCACAAUGGGCGGAAGCCUGAUGCAGCAACGCCGCGUGCGGGAUGACGGCCUUCGGGUUGUAAACCGCUUUCGCCUGUGACGAAGCGUGAGUGACGGUAAUGGGUAAAGAAGCACCGGCUAACUACGG
This 467-nucleotide ribosomal RNA is filed under the name uncultured bacterium. Its description in RNAcentral is "partial 16S ribosomal RNA". It matches the Rfam family "Bacterial small subunit ribosomal RNA", at positions 28 to 506 of the family's 1533-position model. The record is from RNAcentral.